Stylophora pistillata is the source of this 1360-nucleotide long non-coding RNA. RefSeq lists it as uncharacterized. Lineage: Eukaryota; Metazoa; Cnidaria; Anthozoa; Scleractinia; Pocilloporidae. The record is from RefSeq and is a predicted model, not a curated record.
GAAGAAACAACACUCACUUGUACCUAGAGUAUGUCUAAUCUGAAAGGUUCUGACUCUCACAGACAUGAUAAGGAAUAACUGAAUUGGGGCUGUUAUCAAACAAAACAGCAACAGGAAAUUUAAGGCUUGCUGCCAAAGUCAUAAACUCAUCACCUGUAAUUCAUCUACUUAUACUACUCAAGAAUGAACAGAAGACUGGAAACUUCCGACAGAGAGUGAAACAACAGGGUAUGAGUUUUACUGAUACACUGUGGAACUGAUCAGAUGAAAAUAGUUGCAGAAUCUCUGGGUAUCAAGCAACCACAUAGGUAGACACUUUAAUAGCGAAAGUAUAAUUGAGACAAACUCCACAUGUACAUUUGUAUCAUUAAGGGCAGUUCAUUUGUGGAACUAACAGAGCAUUCCCAUAAUCAACAGGAACCCAGAGUGCUCUAACUUAAGUGGAAAAAAGACUACACUCUUACUAUAUGUUUAAUGUAUAGAUAUUUACAAGAGAAAUAAUACAUUUAAAAGAAAAGAGAUGGGUUUCACACAUUUACAAUUAUUCAAAUCCAAAGUUCCAUGGUAAUAGAAAGACAUUCUUGCAUGUUCCAUUCUAAUCACAAGCAGUUGAAGAAAAAAUUUUCUGGCAGGUGAAAUGAGCACAAUGCCCUCAUUACAAUCAAUAUCAUUCUUCAAAACUGAUGGCACUGUCAAACAAUGCAUUUCCUUGAGAGUUUGAGAACAUUUUCUUUGGGCCUGAAAUUUAGACUUUGUAACUUAGGUUUUUAUGGCAAAGUUACAACAGUAACAAGAAGUCUUAAAUACAAUUCUUCAAGUGUGCUUAACUACUAAUAGUAGGUUUAUAAAAAAUAAUUAUGAAGAAAUAUUUACAGAGGGUCAAGAUUUUUAAAUUAGAGAGUACAAGGGAGAAAAGGGAACAAAGACCAUGUAAAAAAAAAAAGAUGCCAUCAAGGUGCAGCCUAGCCUCACUGCAGGAUCUUCUUCUUUCCAUACUCUUUCACAAGGGUGGAAAGAAAAGAGAUCCUGGAAACUAGAAUGGGUGUGGUCAGUUAUAUCUUUGGCCGUGUGAGGAAUUGGUCCCAUAACAGAAACAGAUGGAGAAUAAUUUUGUGACAAUCCCUGGGGGAAUAACCCAGGAGACACCAGCUGCACAGAGAUAUCACUGGAACACGAUGAUAAGGGCUCAUAUUGAAAGAAAUAUUGAGACACUGAAAGCAUUUUGUUCAAAAAAUGGAAUGUUGUGAUGACAGCAGAAUGUUAUUCUACAGGCCUAUCGACUAACCAAAAGUUCAAAGCAAUUUUUUUUUAAUUGUAGUAAUAAUCAUAAUUGUAAGUUUAAUAAAUUACCCUCUUUUUU